This 77-nucleotide transfer RNA is filed under the name Bacilli bacterium. Its description in RNAcentral is "tRNA-Met". It matches the Rfam family "tRNA". From Rfam's summary of the family: Transfer RNA (tRNA) molecules are approximately 80 nucleotides in length. Their secondary structure includes four short double-helical elements and three loops (D, anti-codon, and T loops). Lineage: Bacteria; Bacillati; Bacillota; Bacilli. RNAcentral also lists the same sequence under 1 other name. The record is from RNAcentral.
CGCGGAGUAGAGCAGCUUGGUAGCUCGUCAGGCUCAUAAUCUGAAGGUCGUUGGUUCAAAUCCAGCCUCCGCAACCA